ACGGACGAGGCCCCUUCGGGGACCGAGUUAGUGGCGAACGGGUGAGUAACGCGUGAGGAACCUGCCUUUCAGUGGGGGACAACAGUUGGAAACGACUGCUAAUACCGCAUGAAGCAUUUAGGGGGCAUCCCCUGAAUGCCAAAGAUUUAUUGCUGAAAGAUGGCCUCGCGUCUGAUUAGCUAGUUGGAGGGGUAACGGCCCACCAAGGCGACGAUCAGUAGCCGGUCUGAGAGGAUGAACGGCCACAUUGGGACUGAGAUACGGCCCAGACUCCUACGGGAGGCAGCAGUGGGGAAUAUUGGGCAAUGGGGGAAACCCUGACCCAGCAACGCCGCGUGAAGGAAGAAGGCUUUCGGGUUGUAAACCUCUUUUACCAGGGACGAAGAAAGUGACGGUACCUGGAGAAAAAGCCACGGCUAACUACGUGCCAGCAGCCGCGGUAAUACGUAGGUGGCAAGCGUUGUCCGGAUUUACUGGGUGUAAAGGGCGUGUAGGCGGAGAUUCAAGUCAGGAGUGAAAACUAUGGGCUUAACCCAUAAACUGCUUUU
Molecule: ribosomal RNA, 548 nt
Filed under: uncultured bacterium
Lineage: Bacteria
Description: bacterial SSU rRNA
Rfam family: Bacterial small subunit ribosomal RNA
Source: RNAcentral